UUCGAUGUCAAUUAAAGAGUAUUUUUGGGUAAUUGGUGUCUUCCCGCCCAUGAGAACACAUUACAUACAUUAAUACCAAACCAUUUUUGAACAAAAUACCCAAAAAUAUCAUUCAACUAACAUUGAAGGAAGUGAAAAAGUGGGACCCAAGCUUGCCACUCAAGCAAAUAACGAAAAUUUUGACGGUGAAGUUAAUGCCAGAACCAUAUUGCAAAAAAUUGAAAAACUUGGGGUAAAAUUGAGAGUGCAUGAACAAACAUACCUCAUGGGUAAGAGUUUAGGGUACUAAAUUGAAAUUAACCCUAAAAGAAAACAUUAUAAUUAGAAGGAUUAUUGCUUAUACACAAAUCUAAGAAUUUUAUUUUUAAUUUUAGGGUUAAUUACAGUUUAGUACCCUAUAGUUACAUCUUUAAGAUAAGUCCUUAUCUUCUCAAUUUUAACAAUCACAUACCUUUGUCUUUUAAAUUCAUUACAAUGUGGUUCUGCCGUUAGGGUUUCUAUAAAAUCUCUCUAUUAGUUGCCUACGUGGCAUUGUGGGUCCCACAUUUUUCAAAUUUUUUAAUAUUUAAUUGAUUAAAAUAUGAAUAAAAUAUUAAAAACAAAAAAAAAAAAAAAAUCUCUCUCUCUCUCUGCAUUCCCCCGAUCAAGCUCCAACACCCAACCCUCAAACCCAUAUCACAGCCACCCUUCACUGCAAUGCAACCACCCAACGCUCCUUCCCCGAUAACCACCACCCUCCAACCCCCAACGAACCCAGAACCCCAAACCCUCCCACAUUAUGUUUUCACCC
This 790-nucleotide long non-coding RNA is filed under the name Prunus persica (peach). RNAcentral describes it as "long non-coding RNA (PPER_LNC007236)". Lineage: Eukaryota; Viridiplantae; Streptophyta; Magnoliopsida; Rosales; Rosaceae. The record is from RNAcentral.